CCUGGGAGUCGGGCGGACGCGGCUAUCGCCAACCCGGUCAGGUCCGGAAGGAAGCAGCCGUAACGAAUUCGUCGCGGGUCGUUCCGGCUCCCACCCUC
This 98-nucleotide signal recognition particle RNA is filed under the name Sphingomonadaceae bacterium. RNAcentral describes it as "signal recognition particle sRNA small type". It matches the Rfam family "Bacterial small signal recognition particle RNA". From Rfam's summary of the family: The signal recognition particle (SRP) is a universally conserved ribonucleoprotein involved in the co-translational targeting of proteins to membranes. Lineage: Bacteria; Pseudomonadati; Pseudomonadota; Alphaproteobacteria; Sphingomonadales; Sphingomonadaceae. The record is from RNAcentral.